Molecule: long non-coding RNA, 930 nt
Organism: Brassica napus (rape)
Lineage: Eukaryota; Viridiplantae; Streptophyta; Magnoliopsida; Brassicales; Brassicaceae
Exons: 4
Source: RefSeq, a predicted model, not a curated record
UCCCCCUUUACUCCAUCUCGAGCUCCACCACUCUGUGGUCUCCACUCACGCACAAUCGAACAAGGUGGCGCCUCUUGUCCACUCUCGAGCCUCACCGCCGUGCUCUGCUCAUCAAUCCACCGUGCUCUGCUUCACACCGCAACAGUCUGGCCGUCGUCGCCACGUCGAAGCUCUCAUCCAUCGCAAUCCAUCACUGUGUCUGUGACCAAACGACACCACGAUAGCACCUGCUCCAAAUCAAGCUUCUCUGGCGCGUUCUUGCUUCAACGGAAUCAUGCCUCACCGUCGGAAUCAAAGUGGAGAAGAGAAACAAUGGCGUUUCGACAAAAGGUGCUGCUACCAAGUAGUGGGCAUUGGAAGAUGGUACUAACUCUGUCGCUAUGGCUAAGAGAAGAAUGAGAGCCAACUUUGAGUUUUUGAAGAAACUUGGAGUUGAUUGGUGGUGUUUCUACACGUGAGGUGCAGGUGGAGUUCUUCUUGUUUACGACAUCAGCAGACAGCAGACUUUUCAGAGCAUUGGUAGAUGGCUGAACGAGCUGCACACACACUCGGACAUGAACGUUGUGACGUUCUUCGUUCAUUCGUUACGAAUUGGAGUUGAUUGGUGGUGUUGUGUUUUACUUGUCUCUUGACAGGUGGUGUUGCGGAAACGCCUUGCCCAUAUCAAAAGAGAAGUUGAUAAAAAGAUGGUGGAGAAGAGAAGUUGGUUUCUUGUGUUCUUCUGUGUCAAGCUUUGAUCUGAGGUAAGUGAGAUUCGGUUUGGAUUAGAUGGUGAAGGAAACAGAGUAAUAUGAUGUGCUCGGCGUUAGCCCAAGUGCUACUGAGUCUGAGAUCAAGACUCAGUUUGUUUAUGACUAGAUUUGAUGGUUAUAUGUUCUUUUAUGGAGUUCGUGUGUUUCAUGUAUUGAUUUUGUAUGUUUUGAUUCUUUG